CCUAAGGCGAGGCCGAAAGGCGUAGUCGAUGGGAAACAGGUAAAUAUACCUGUACUUGGUGUUACUGAGAAGGGGGGACGGAGAAGGCUAUGUUAGACGGGCGACGGUUGUCCCGGUUUAAGCAUGUAGGCGGAGGUUCCAGGUAAAUCCGGUACCUUUUAACGCAGAGGUGUGAUGACGAGGCACUACGGUGAUGAAGUAACAAAUGCACUGAUUCCAGGAAAUGCCUCUAAGC
RNAcentral lists this ribosomal RNA (235 nucleotides) under Klebsiella variicola. Its description in RNAcentral is "partial 23S ribosomal RNA". It matches the Rfam family "Bacterial large subunit ribosomal RNA", at positions 1390 to 1629 of the family's 2925-position model. Lineage: Bacteria; Pseudomonadati; Pseudomonadota; Gammaproteobacteria; Enterobacterales; Enterobacteriaceae. The record is from RNAcentral.